AUUGAACGCUGGCGGCAGGCCUAACACAUGCAAGUCGAGCGGAUGAAGGGAGCUUGCUCCUGGAUUCAGCGGCGGACGGGUGAGUAAUGCCUAGGAAUCUGCCUGGUAGUGGGGGAUAACGUCCGGAAACGGGCGCUAAUACCGCAUACGUCCUGAGGGAGAAAGUGGGGGAUCUUCGGACCUCACGCUAUCCGAUGAGCCUAGGUCGGAUAGCUAGUUGGUGGGGUAAAGGCCUACCAAGGCGACGAUCCGUAACUGGUCUGAGAGGAUGAUCAGUCACACUGGAACUGAGACACGGUCCAGACUCCUACGGGAGGCAGCAGUGGGGAAUAUUGGACAAUGGGCGAAAGCCUGAUCCAGCCAUGCCGCGUGUGUGAAGAAGGUCUUCGGAUUGUAAAGCACUUUAAGUUGGGAGGAAGGGCAGUAAGUUAAUACCUUGCUGUUUUGACGUUACCAACAGAAUAAGCACCGGCUAACUUCGUG
RNAcentral lists this ribosomal RNA (483 nucleotides) under uncultured bacterium. RNAcentral's name for it is "partial 16S ribosomal RNA". It matches the Rfam family "Bacterial small subunit ribosomal RNA", at positions 30 to 507 of the family's 1533-position model. The record is from RNAcentral.